CAGUAGCCGCGGUAAUACGUAGGUGGCAAGCGUUGUCCGGAAUUAUUGGGCGUAAAGGGCUCGCAGGCGGUUUCUUAAGCCUGAUGUGAAAGCCCCCGGCUCAACCGGGGAGGGUCAUUGGAAACUGGGAAACUUGAGUGCAGAAGAGGAGAGUGGAAUUCCACGUGUAGCGGUGAAAUGCGUAGAGAUGUGGAGGAACACCAGUGGCGAAGGCGACUCUCUGGUCUGUAACUGACGCUGAGGAGCGAAAGCGUGGGGAGCGAACAGGAUUAGAUACCCCCGUAGUCCCUGUUUCUUAUAC
Molecule: ribosomal RNA, 301 nt
Filed under: uncultured bacterium
Lineage: Bacteria
Description: partial 16S ribosomal RNA
Rfam family: Bacterial small subunit ribosomal RNA
Source: RNAcentral